Molecule: ribosomal RNA, 115 nt
Filed under: Salmonella enterica
Lineage: Bacteria; Pseudomonadati; Pseudomonadota; Gammaproteobacteria; Enterobacterales; Enterobacteriaceae
Also listed under: 5 other names
Source: RNAcentral
UGGCGGCACUAGCGCGGUGGUCCCACCUGACCCCAUGCCGAACUCAGAAGUGAAACGCCGUAGCGCCGAUGGUAGUGUGGGGUCUCCCCAUGCGAGAGUAGGGAACUGCCAGACA